CCUACGGGAGGCUGCAGUAGGGAAUCUUCCACAAUGGGCGAAAGCCUGAUGGAGCAACGCCGCGUGGGUGAAGAAGGUCUUCGGAUCGUAAAACCCUGUUGUUAGAGAAGAAAGUGCGUGAGCGUAACUGUUCACGUUUCGACGGUAUCUACCCAGAAAGCCACGGCUAACUACGUGCCAGCAGCCGCGGUAAUACGUAGGUGGCAAGCGUUAUCCGGAAUUAUUGGGCGUAAAGGGAACGCAGGCGGUCUGUUAAGUCUGAUGUGAAUGCCUUGGGCUUAACCGGAGUAGUGCAUUGGAUACUGGGAGACGUGAGUGCAGUAGAGGAGAGUAGAACUCCAUGUGUAGCGGUGAAAUGCGUAGAGAUAUGGAAGAACACCAGUGGCGAAAGCGGCUCUCUGGUCUGUAACUGACGCUGAGGUUCGAAAGCGUGGGUAGCAAACAGGAUUAGAUACCCGGGUAGUC
Molecule: ribosomal RNA, 465 nt
Filed under: uncultured bacterium
Lineage: Bacteria
Description: partial 16S ribosomal RNA
Rfam family: Bacterial small subunit ribosomal RNA
Source: RNAcentral